GGGGCUGUAGCUCAGUGGCAGAGUGCUCACCUAGCAUGUGUGAGGCACUGGGUUUGAUCCUCAGCACUACA
This 71-nucleotide transfer RNA is filed under the name Marmota monax (woodchuck). Its description in RNAcentral is "tRNA.Ala". It matches the Rfam family "tRNA". From Rfam's summary of the family: Transfer RNA (tRNA) molecules are approximately 80 nucleotides in length. Their secondary structure includes four short double-helical elements and three loops (D, anti-codon, and T loops). The record is from RNAcentral. Lineage: Eukaryota; Metazoa; Chordata; Mammalia; Rodentia; Sciuridae.